RNAcentral lists this ribosomal RNA (324 nucleotides) under uncultured bacterium. Its description in RNAcentral is "bacterial SSU rRNA". It matches the Rfam family "Bacterial small subunit ribosomal RNA", at positions 28 to 334 of the family's 1533-position model. The record is from RNAcentral.
GAUGAACGCUGGCGGCGUGCUUAACACAUGCAAGUCGAACGAAGCAUAGGAGCGGAAUUUUUCGGAAGGAAGCUUUUAUGACUGAGUGGCGGACGGGUGAGUAACGCGUGGGUAACCUGCCUCAUACAGGGGGAUAACAGUUAGAAAUGACUGCUAAAACCGCAUAAGCGCACAAAACCGCAUGGUUUGGUGUGAAAAACUCCGGUGGUAUGAGAUGGACCCGCGUCUGAUUAGCUAGUUGGAGAGGUAACGGCUCACCAAGGCGACGAUCAGUAGCCGACCUGAGAGGGUGACCGGCCACAUUGGGACUGAGACACGGCCCAA